AGUCGAACGGUAGCAGGAAGUGCUUGCACUUUGCUGACGAGUGGCGGACGGGUGAGUAAUGCUUGGGAACUUGCCUUUGCGAGGGGGAUAACAGUUGGAAACGACUGCUAAUACCGCAUAAUGUCUACGGACCAAACGGGGCUUAGGCUUCGGCGCAGAGAGAGGCCCAAGUGAGAUUAGCUAGUUGGUGGGGUAAAGGCUCACCAAGGCGACGAUCUCUAGCUGUUCUGAGAGGAAGAUCAGCCACACUGGGACUGAGACACGGCCCAGACUCCUACGGGAGGCAGCAGUGGGGAAUAUUGCACAAUGGGGGGAACCCUGAUGCAGCCAUGCCGCGUGUGUGAAGAAGGCCUUCGGGUUGUAAAGCACUUUCAGUUGUGAGGAAAAGUGAGUAGUUAAUACCUGCUCACCGUGACGUUAACAACAGAAGAAGCACCGGCUAACUCCGUGCCAGCAGCCGCGGUAAUACGGAGGGUGCGAGCGUUAAUCGGAAUUACUGGGCGUAAAGCGCACGCAGGCGGUUUGUUAAGCUAGAUGUGAAAGCCCCGAGCUCAACUUGGGAUGGUCAUUUAGAACUGGCAGACUAGAGUCUUGGAGAGGGGAGUGGAAUUCCAGGUGUAGCGGUGAAAUGCGUAGAUAUCUGGAGGAACAUCAGUGGCGAAGGCGACUCCCUGGCCAAAGACUGACGCUCAUGUGCGAAAGUGUGGGUAGCGAACAGGAUUAGAUACCCUGGUAGUCCACACCGUAAACGCUGUCUACUAGCUGUUUGUGGCUUUAAGCCGUGAGUAGCGAAGCUAACGCGAUAAGUAGACCGCCUGGGGAGUACGGCCGCAAGGUUAAAACUCAAAUGAAUUGACGGGGGCCCGCACAAGCGGUGGAGCAUGUGGUUUAAUUCGAUGCAACGCGAAGAACCUUACCUACACUUGACAUGCAGAGAACUUUCCAGAGAUGGAUUGGUGCCUUCGGGAACUCUGACACAGGUGCUGCAUGGCUGUCGUCAGCUCGU
Molecule: ribosomal RNA, 1006 nt
Filed under: Alteromonas sp.
Lineage: Bacteria; Pseudomonadati; Pseudomonadota; Gammaproteobacteria; Alteromonadales; Alteromonadaceae
Description: bacterial SSU rRNA
Rfam family: Bacterial small subunit ribosomal RNA
Source: RNAcentral